AAUAACACACAUUUACUUAUCGAUUUUCUGCUAGUAUCACUACAUAUUUGUACCAUUAGCACAAUAUUAUCACAGUCAGUUGGCAUGUACAACAUGCCCACAUUUACUCUUUCACAAUAGUCAUCAUAAGCAUAUAUCACAUGUCACAGCAUCACAUCUUAGUUCUCAUUAUCAUUGUAAUACCCAAUUUAUGCCCGGCCCACAUACAUAAAAUAAUAAAAUAAAAUAAAAAAUAAAUAAAUGUCCAGUUUUGUUACAAUAAUAGAUCCGAUUAGUUUACCCAAACCCAUUAAGCCCCAAAUUAACCUGAAAUACAAACCCAACACCAGCCCAAGCCUAAAUCUCAACCCAAUACAAACCUAAC
RNAcentral lists this long non-coding RNA (364 nucleotides) under Gossypium raimondii (Peruvian cotton). RNAcentral describes it as "long non-coding RNA (GRAI_LNC008486)". Lineage: Eukaryota; Viridiplantae; Streptophyta; Magnoliopsida; Malvales; Malvaceae. The record is from RNAcentral.